This 1472-nucleotide long non-coding RNA is filed under the name Anolis carolinensis (green anole). Its description in RNAcentral is "lncRNA (ENSACAG00000043822.1)". Lineage: Eukaryota; Metazoa; Chordata; Lepidosauria; Squamata; Anolidae. The record is from RNAcentral.
GAUUCUAGGGACACAACCAGAUGCUUCUCUGACAAUUCUCCCGGUACUCUCUCCACAAACCACAGAAUGGCCAUAGAGACUGCAGUAGCUCAAUAAUAAGUCUGAAGAAUAUUGAUUAGUUUAGUAGCUGUAAUUUUGUACCUAUUACACUACUGUAUUCAACAACAUUUCAAUGAUGAAAACUGGAUCCUGUGUUGCCAAGUAACAGCAGAAUGUGAUCAAGAUGGCAAAAUUGUUAAUGAGGGAGAACACACAAGAUAAUGCCCCUUCUCCCUCAUUGCUGAGAUAAGUGACUGCAAACUACAUUUGCAUUUAGGAAUCAAUUUACAUCAAUGGAAGGAAAGCUGAAAACAAAGCAAGAAAGUAAGAGGAAAAGAAAGAAACUGGACCAUUUUAAAAGCAUCUGAACAAGUAUGGUUACACAGGAUUAAUUGGGACUAGUCUUGAAAAAUGGGAACAGUUGGGAUGCAUGUAUUAUGUGUUAUGCUGAGACUUACACAAUUUUGACCUAUGCAUAUUAAAGGGGAAGGCAAAGAUGUCUUGUUCCACUUCCUAUUUCUGAUAUAAUAGCUUACCUUAACCAGGGAAGGCUUUUUUUGUGGGAAAACAUACCAGAAUAUAGCCUGAAGUGGUACCCUCCGGAAAAACCUUCAUUUUCUGACUACACUUCUAUAAACUAUUCUUACACAAAUGUAUGCAUGAAACCCAUACACUCAAAUAAAUCAAAGAGCCUAACUCCAGAUUCUAACAGUCACUGAAGAAUCUAUGCUGCUACAUUAUGCCUAGUGUGAUUUCCAGGUAGAGCCACAAUUGCUUAGGUCUCCCUCUCCCCAAACAUUGUUUCUCACCAAACAAGCUCCAUUAAUUGUCUAAUAACCGGAUUAAUUAGGGACACUGAAAGUAAACAACAAGAAUGUAAUUUGCCUCUGAUUGCUAUGUAAUAGCGGGGAGGACAAACUCAUUUGCAUAUGCGAAAAGUACUGUUGAUUGAGGCAAUAUAAUCAUGGAUAACAAUUCAUGGUGUAGAAACCUGCUCCUGGGAAUUUUUGACCCUCACUCAACUUUUUUGCAAGGCUAGCUGUUGUCAGUUCCCUUCCCAUUGUUUCGUUGAACAAGCCCAUUUCUUAUUAAAAAUGUUACUUUAGAUAGAUACCUUCCUGCUAUUUAAUAGAGAAAUGUGUCUCUGGUGCUAAAGUGAACCUGUGUAAGUAGAGGCUGUUGAGUAAGGAAAGCAAAUAACCAGAUUUUCCUUAAAAAGUAGAAACAGCCUUCUAUCUGUUGUCGAAGGCUUUCAUGGCCGGGAUCACAGGGUUGUUGUAUGUUUUCUGGGCUGUAUGGCCAUGUUCUAGAAGUAUUCUCUCCUGACAUUUCACCCACAUCUAUGGCUGGCAUCCUCAGAGGUUGUGAGGUAUGGAGAAACUAAGCAAGGAAGAUUUAUAUAUAUCUGUGGAAAGUCCAGAAUGGAAAAGAGA